This 427-nucleotide ribosomal RNA is filed under the name uncultured bacterium. RNAcentral describes it as "partial 16S ribosomal RNA". It matches the Rfam family "Bacterial small subunit ribosomal RNA", at positions 355 to 774 of the family's 1533-position model. The record is from RNAcentral.
UGGGGAAUAUUGCACAAUGGGCGCAAGCCUGAUGCAGCCAUGCCGCGUGUAUGAAGAAGGCCUUCGGGUUGUAAAGUACUUUCAGCGGGGAGGAAGGUGUUGAGGUUAAUAACCUCAGCAAUUGACGUUACCCGCAGAAGAAGCACCGGCUAACUCCGUGCCAGCAGCCGCGGUAAUACGGAGGGUGCAAGCGUUAAUCGGAAUUACUGAGCGUAAAGCGCACGCAGGCGGUCUGUCAAGUCGGAUGUGAAAUCCCCGGGCUCAACCUGGGAACUGCAUUCGAAACUGGCAGGCUAGAGUCUUGUAGAGGGGGGUAGAAUUCCAGGUGUAGCGGUGAAAUGCGUAGAGAUCUGGAGGAAUACCGGUGGCGAAGGCGGCCCCCUGGACAAAGACUGACGCUCAGGUGCGAAAGCGUGGGGAGCAAACA